Molecule: ribosomal RNA, 254 nt
Filed under: uncultured bacterium
Lineage: Bacteria
Description: partial 16S ribosomal RNA
Rfam family: Bacterial small subunit ribosomal RNA
Source: RNAcentral
UACGUAGGGGGCGAGCGUUGUCCGGAUUUAUUGGGCGUAAAGAGCGUGUAGGCGGCCAGGUAGGUCUGCUGUGAAAACUCGAGGCUCAACCUCGAGACGUCGGCGGAAACCAUCUGGCUAGAGUCAGGAAGAGGAGAGUGGAAUUCCUGGUGUAGCGGUGAAAUGCGCAGAUAUCAGGAAGAACACCCGUGGCGAAGGCGGCUCUCUGGGACGGUACUGACGCUGAGGGCACGAAAGCGUGGGGAGCAAACAGG